GCAUAGUCGCGGGCAGUAGACCCGAAACCGGGUGAUCUAGUCAUGCCCAGGGUGAAGGUGCGGUAACACGCACUGGAGGCCCGAACCCACUCCCGUUGCAAAGGUAGGGGAUGAGGUGUGAUUAGGAGUGAAAAGCUAAUCGAACCCGGAGAUAGCUGGUUCUCCUCGAAAGCUAUUUAGGUAGCGCCUCAUAUGUAUCCUCUCGGGGGUAGAGCACUGUUAUGGCUAGGGGGUCAUCGCGACUUACCAAACCAUUGCAAACUCCGAAUACCGAGACGGACUGUAUGGGAGACACACGGCGGGUGCUAACGUCCGUCGUGAAAAGGGAAACAACCCAGACCCACAGCUAAGGUCCCAAAUUCACUGCUAAGUGGAAAACCAUGUGGAAAGGCACAGACAGCCAGGAGGUUGGCUUAGAAGCAGCCACCCUUUAAAGAAAGCGUAAUAGCUCACUGGUCGAGUCGGUCUGCGGGGAAGAUUUAACGGGGCUAAGCAGUGAACCGAAGCUUGGGGUGCAUACUUUGUAUGCGCGGUAGAGGAGCGUUCCGUAAGCCGUUGAAGGUGGAUUGAGAAGUCUGCUGGAGGUAUCGGAAGUGCGAAUGCUGACAUGAGUAACGAUAAUGCGGGUGAAAAACCCGCACGCCGAAAGCCCAAGGUUUCCUUGCGCAACGUUAAUCGGCGCAGGGUGAGUCGGCCCCUAAGGCGAGGACGAAAGUCGUAGUCGAUGGGAAGCAGGUUAAUGUUCCUGCACCUCGCGUAAGUGCGAUGGAGGGACGGAGAAGGUUAGGUGUACCAGGCGUUGGUUGUCCUGGGGAAAGGCGGUAGGUUUGGAUCUUUGGCAAAUCCGGGAUCCUUUAAGACCGAGCACCGAGACGAGCCUUUAUGGCGAAGUCACUGAUACCACGCUUCCAGGAAAAGCUCCUAAGCUUCAGCUUACGCAGACCGUACCGUAAACCGACACAGGUGGGUAGGAUGAGAAUUCUCAGGCGCUUGAGAGAACUCGGGUGAAGGAACUAGGCAACAUGGCACCGUAACUUCGGGAGAAGGUGCACCCUUUUUGGUGGCUCGUGCGAGCUAUAGCUGAAGAGGGUCGCAGUAACCAGGCCGCUGCGACUGUUUAUCAAAAACACAGCACUCUGCAAACACGAAAGUGGACGUAUAGGGUGUGACGCCUGCCCGGUGCUGGAAGGUUAAUUGAUGGGGUCAGCCGCAAGGCGAAGCUCUUGAUCGAAGCCCCAGUAAACGGCGGCCGUAACUAUAACGGUCCUAAGGUAGCGAAAUUCCUUGUCGGGUAAGUUCCGACCUGCACGAAUGGCGUAACGACAGCGGCGCUGUCUCCACCCGAGACUCAGUGAAAUUGAAAUCGCUGUGAAGAUGCAGCGUUCCCGUGGCAAGACGGAAAGACCCCGUGAACCUUUACUAUAGCUUUACACUGAACGUUGAGUUCGUCUGUGUAGGAUAGGUGGGAGGCUAUGAAACUGUGGCGCUAGCUGCAGUGGAGCCAUCCUUGAAAUACCACCCUGUCGUGCUUGACGUUCUAACCUGGGCCCAUUAUCUGGGUCGGGGACCGUGUAUGGUGGGUAGUUUGACUGGGGCGGUCUCCUCCUAAAGAGUAACGGAGGAGCUCGAAGGUACGCUCAGCGCGGUCGGACAUCGCGCACUGUGUGCAAAGGCAUAAGCGUGCUUGACUGCAAGAUCGACGGAUCAAGCAGGUAGGAAACUAGGACUUAGUGAUCCGGUGGUUCUGUAUGGAAGGGCCAUCGCUCAACGGAUAAAAGGUACUCCGGGGAUAACAGGCUGAUACCGCCCAAGAGUUCAUAUCGACGGCGGUGUUUGGCACCUCGAUGUCGGCUCAUCACAUCCUGGGGCUGUAGUCGGUCCCAAGGGUAUGGCUGUUCGCCAUUUAAAGUGGUACGCGAGCUGGGUUCAGAACGUCGUGAGACAGUUCGGUCCCUAUCUGCCAUGGGCGUUGGAGAUUUGAGAGGGGCUGCUCCUAGUACGAGAGGACCGGAGUGGACGAACCUCUGGUGUUCCGGUUGUCACGCCAGUGGCAUUGCCGGGUAGCUAUGUUCGGAAGCGAUAACCGCUGAAAGCAUCUAAGCGGGAAGCGCGCCUCAAGAUGAGAUCUCCCGGGGCACAAGCCCCCUGAAGGAACCAUGUAGACUACGUGGUUGAUAGGUCAGGUGUGUAAGUACAGCAAUGUAUUGAGCUAACUGAUACUAAUGAUCCGUGCGGCUUGACCAU
This 2244-nucleotide ribosomal RNA is filed under the name Stenotrophomonas maltophilia. RNAcentral describes it as "bacterial LSU rRNA". It matches the Rfam family "Bacterial large subunit ribosomal RNA", at positions 694 to 2925 of the family's 2925-position model. The record is from RNAcentral. Lineage: Bacteria; Pseudomonadati; Pseudomonadota; Gammaproteobacteria; Lysobacterales; Lysobacteraceae.